AUGAGCUCAUGGAGUCAGUAUUAUAAAGCAAAACAUGAAGAGUAUCCCAGGGAAACCUUGAGAGAAAUCCGUAAUUACUAAGAAUGACAUGGAAGAAGAAUUAACAGAGACUGAGAAGGAGUGAUAGGACAGAUCAAGGAGAACCAGAAGAAAGAAGUAUCAUGAAAACCUAGCGAGAAAAAUGAGUAUCCAGGAGAAGAAAACCGAACUGGACUCUCAACUCACUGCACUUUGCAUCUGCUGCUCUGCCUGGCCUCAACUCCACAGAACAAGAUACCCCAGAAACAGAUUUUCAAUCAUAUAUGAGGCCUUUAAGAGAGGGGAGGAAAGAAAAACAAGAGUAAACCUCUGAAGUAAAGUUGGAGGUAAAGGAGUGUUUAUACAACUAAAAGAUAAUCUUUGGCAUUUAGAAGAGAAUCAAGAAUCUGAACAGGAAUGACUCAAAUGUGGAAAUGACUUUUUGCUUGCUUUUUCUGUCUCUAAUGUGAGAAGUGAUACAAUACUGCCUCCUCAAUUCUAUGACAGGGGAAAGAACAAGAUGAGCAAAUAAAAAAUAAACCCUAUCCCCUAAAACUCUCCUUACCUCAGCUUUUGUUCUGAUUAUUCAUGGUUCUGACCAGACAAUUAAGAUUCUAUGAUACUUUUCCAUUUAGAAACAGGAAUUUGCUGAGCACAAGGAAGCAUCAGCUGGAGAACAUAUUCAUUUAUUCACAACAACAUAUGAAAAGCUAACAAUAAACCAUACAUCAAAAG
Molecule: non-coding RNA, 753 nt
Organism: Monodelphis domestica (gray short-tailed opossum)
Lineage: Eukaryota; Metazoa; Chordata; Mammalia; Didelphimorphia; Didelphidae
Source: RefSeq, a predicted model, not a curated record